This 508-nucleotide ribosomal RNA is filed under the name Pseudobithynia trichonis. RNAcentral's name for it is "partial large subunit ribosomal RNA". It matches the Rfam family "Bacterial large subunit ribosomal RNA", at positions 1816 to 2597 of the family's 2925-position model. The record is from RNAcentral. Lineage: Eukaryota; Metazoa; Mollusca; Gastropoda; Littorinimorpha; Hydrobiidae.
CCGCUCCUUGAUUAAAAUACAUAAGGAGUCAGGCCUGCCCAGUGAUAUAUUUCAACGGCCGCGGUACUCUGACCGUGCAAAGGUAGCAUAAUCAUUUGCCCUAUAAUUAAGGGCUCGUAUGAACGGUCCGACAAGAAUGAAGCUGUCUCUUUUAAAAUUACUAAAAUUUGGUUUUUAGGUGAAGAAACCUAAAUAAUAUUGAUAGACAAGAAGACCCUAUCGAGCUUUAAAAAAAUUAGCUAAAUAAAUAGAAUAAACUAAAUCUAGCUAAAUAUUUUGGUUGGGGCGACUAAGGAACACACAAAGCUUCCUCAAUUCAGCAUUUUUAACGCUUUUUAGCAAUGAUCCAAAAUAUUUGAUUAAUAAAAUUAGUUACCGUAGGGAUAACAGCAUAAUCUUUUUUAAAAGUUCCUAUCGAAAAAAAGGUUUGUGACCUCGAUGUUGGACUAGGAUACCCAGACAGAUGCAGAAGUCUUCAAUGGUUGGUCUGUUCGACCAAUAAAAUCCU